UACGUAGGUGGCAAGCGUUGUCCGGAUUUACUGGGCGUAAAGAGCGCGCAGGCGGUCGUUCAAGUCGCGUGUGAAAGCCCCCGGCUCAACUGGGGAGGGUCACGCGAUACUGAUCGACUCGAAGGCAGGAGAGGGAUGCGGAAUUCCAGGUGUAGCGGUGAAAUGCGUAGAUAUCUGGAGGAACACCUGAGGUGAAGACGGGUUGCUGGGCCAACACUGACGUUGAGGCGCGAAAGCCAGGGGAGCAAACGGG
Molecule: ribosomal RNA, 253 nt
Filed under: uncultured bacterium
Lineage: Bacteria
Description: partial 16S ribosomal RNA
Rfam family: Bacterial small subunit ribosomal RNA
Source: RNAcentral